This 413-nucleotide ribosomal RNA is filed under the name uncultured bacterium. RNAcentral's name for it is "bacterial SSU rRNA". It matches the Rfam family "Bacterial small subunit ribosomal RNA", at positions 33 to 491 of the family's 1533-position model. The record is from RNAcentral.
UACGCUGGCGGCACGCCUAACACAUGCAAGUCGAACGCAGUAGCAAUACUGAGUGGCAAACGGGUGAGUAUAAUGUGGGAAUCUGCCUUUUGGUUUGGAAUAACACGAGGAAACUUGUGCUAAUACCGGAUAAGCCCUUACGGGGAAAGUUUUAACGCCGAAAGAUGAGCCCGCACUUGAUUAGCUAGUUGGUAAGGUAAAAGCUUACCAAGGCAACGAUCAAUAGCUGUUCUUAGAGGAAGACCAGCCACAUUGGGACUGAGACACGGCCCAAACUCCUACGGGAGGCAGCAGUGGGGAAUCUUGCACAAUGGGGGAAACCCUGAUGCAGCGAUGCCGCGUGAGUGAAGAAGGCCUUUGGGUUGUAAAACUCUUUCGUCGGGGAAGAAAAUGACUGUACCCGAAUAAGAAGG